CGAGUGUAGAGGUGAAAUUCGUAGAUAUUCGGUGGAACACCAGUGGCGAAGGCGACUAACUGGACUGAUACUGACGCUGAGGUGCGAAAGUGUGGGGAGCAAACAGGAUUAGAUACCCUGGUAGUCCACACCGUAAACGCUGUCUACUAGCUGUUUGUGGAUAUUAUCCGUGAGUAGCGAAGCUAACGCGCUAAGUAGACCGCCUGGGGAGUACGGCCGCAAGGUUAAAACUCAAAUGAAUUGACGGGGGCCCGCACAAGCGGCGGAGCAUGUGGAUUAAUUCGAUGCAACGCGAAGAACCUUACCUGGGCUUGACAUACACUGGAUCGCUGCAGAGAUGUAGUUUCCCUUUGUGGCUGGUGUACAGGUGGUGCAUGGUUGUCGUCAGCUCGUGUCGUGAGAUGUUGGGUUAAG
Molecule: ribosomal RNA, 414 nt
Filed under: Thalassiosira minuscula
Lineage: Eukaryota; Bacillariophyta; Thalassiosirophyceae; Thalassiosirales; Thalassiosiraceae
Description: partial Bacterial small subunit ribosomal RNA
Rfam family: Bacterial small subunit ribosomal RNA
Source: RNAcentral